This 204-nucleotide microRNA precursor is filed under the name Oryza sativa Japonica Group (Japanese rice). RNAcentral's name for it is "MIR812 microRNA precursor family". It matches the Rfam family "MIR812 microRNA precursor family". Lineage: Eukaryota; Viridiplantae; Streptophyta; Magnoliopsida; Poales; Poaceae. The record is from Rfam by way of RNAcentral.
AAUAAGUACAACCAUGGUUUUCCGCGCUCAACUUUAACCAUUCAUCUUAUUUAAAAAUUUUUUAAAAAAAAUUAAAAACAUAAGUCACGAGUAAAGUACUAUUCAUGUUUUAUCAUCUUAUAACAACAAAAAUGCUAAUUAUAAAAAAAAUCAAAUAAGAUGGACGAUCAAAAUUGAUUGCGAAAACUCAUGGCUGUACUUAUU